AUACGGAGGAUGCGAGCGUUAUCCGGAUUUAUUGGGUUUAAAGGGAGCGUAGGUGGGAUAUUAAGUCAGCUGUGAAAGUUUGCGGCUCAACCGUAAAAUUGCAGUUGAAACUGGCAGUCUUGAGUACAGUAGAGGUGGGCGGAAUUCGUGGUGUAGCGGUGAAAUGCUUAGAUAUCACGAAGAACUCCGAUUGCGAAGGCAGCUCACUAGACUGUUACUGACACUGAUGCUCGAAAGUGUGGGUAUCAAACAGGAUUAGAUACCCUGGUAGUCCACACAGUAAACGAUGAAUACUCGCUGUUUGCGAUAUACAGUAAGCGGCCAAGCGAAAGCAUUAAGUAUUCCACCUGGGGAGUACGCCGGCAACGGUGAAACUCAAAUGAAUUGACGGGG
This 393-nucleotide ribosomal RNA is filed under the name uncultured bacterium. RNAcentral describes it as "partial 16S ribosomal RNA". It matches the Rfam family "Bacterial small subunit ribosomal RNA", at positions 523 to 918 of the family's 1533-position model. The record is from RNAcentral.